CCUACGGGAGGCAGCAGUGGGGAAUAUUGGACAAUGGGCGAAAGCCUGAUGCAGCAACGCCGCGUGAAGGAAGAAGUGUUUCGGCUUGUAAACCUCUAUCAACAGGGACGAAAGAAAUGACGGUACCUGAAUAAGAAGCCCCGGCUAACUACGUGCCAGCAGCCGCGGUAAUACGUAGGGGGCAAGCGUUAUCCGGAAUUAAUGGGCGUAAAGGGUGCGCAGGCGGCAAGGUAAGUCAGAUGUUAAAGCCUUGGGCUUAACCCGAGGAUAGCAUUUGAAACUAUCAAGUUAGAGUCCAGGAGAGGAAAGCGGAAUUCCAAGUGUAGCGGUAAAAUGCGUAGAUAUAAGGAAGAACACCAGUGGCGAAGGCGGCUGUCUGGACUGAAACUGACGCUGAGGCACGAAAGCGUGGGGAGCGAACAGGAUUAGAUACCCUUGUAGUC
Molecule: ribosomal RNA, 443 nt
Filed under: uncultured bacterium
Lineage: Bacteria
Description: partial 16S ribosomal RNA
Rfam family: Bacterial small subunit ribosomal RNA
Source: RNAcentral